UGGAGUUGGAGGAGGAAUGAGAAGAGGCAUGGAGAUGGAGAGCGAGGACGUGGAGGAAGAGUUGGAGGAGAUGAACGGUGGGCUGGACACGCCCCGUGGAGCUGCUCCGGAGACGGAGGAAGGCGGCGGCGGGGAAGCGGAGCAGAGGAGCGUCUAUUACGACGAGGACCAAGAGGGUGGUUUUAACAUAUUUCACAUAUUUGAGAAAGGAAAGGAUACUCAUGUGCAAAGUUCAGAGCAAGUGCCCGAGAAGAAGAUAAAUUGGAUUUCUUCUAUUUUUAAAGUGGAUAGAAGCAAAACGAAAGAAAGCGAACCAGAAGCAAGUGCUACUGAAGCUUUGGCACAUUCAGAUGUUCGGAUUAAUGCGACAGAGCAAACUACCAGAGAUGCUGAAAUAAGCGAUGACAGGUUUAGUGGACCACCUGGUGUUAGCUUUGAAGAACAGAUGGAUGAUCAACCUGAACUACAUGAUUCUGUCACUCAGACCAUAUCCACUUCAGAAGCUAUGAUUCAGACCAAAGAGUUAAUUUAUGCUGGAGUUAAAGAUAAUGAUGGUAGAAUGAGAGAUGAUUCAGGAGUUGAUGCUACUAAAAUAACUUCUCAAAGUGACCAGAUAAUUCAAAGUUCAGAAGCAACUACUACUGAAGUUUUGGCACAUUCGGAUGUUCGAAUUAAUGUAUUAGAGCAAAUUGCCAGAGAUACUGAAAUAAGCAAUGACAGGCUUAGUGGACCUUCUAGCGUUAGUUUCAAAGGACACAUGGAGGAUCAGUCCGAACUACAUGAUCCUGCCACUCAGACCAUAACCACUUUAGGAGCUAUGUUUCAGAUCAAAGAGUCAAUUGAUGCUGGAGUUAAAGAAAAUGAUGUCAGACUCAGAAUGAUGGACGAAUCUGGAGUUGAUGCUUCUAAAAUAACUUUCCAAAAUGAACAGAUAAUUCAAGAUUCAGAAACAAAUGCUACUGAAGUGUUGACGCAUUCUGAUAUUGCGAUUAAUGUAGCAGAGCAAACUGCCAGAGUUAGUUACAAAGAACAGACGGAGGAUCAGCCAGAACUACAGGAUCCUUCCACUCAGACCAUAUCCACUUCGGAAGCUAUGAUACAGAUCAAAGAGUUAAUUGACGAUGGAGUUAAUGAUAAUGAUGUCAGAAUGAAAGAUGACUCAGGAGUUGAUGCUAAUAAAAUAACUUCUCAAAGUGACCAAAUAAUUCAAGGUUCAGAAACAAGUACUACGGAAGUGUUGGCACAUUCAGAUGUUCGGAUUAAUGUAGCAGAGCAAACUGCCAGAGAUACUGAAAUAAGCAAUGACUGGGAUAUACUAAAAAGCAUUGUAUAUGGAGGUCUGAAUGAAUCAAUUACUAGCCUGGCUGUUGUGUCAUCAGCAGCUGGUGCUGACGUUUCAACAUUGAAAAUUGUUGCAUUAGGGUUGGCAAAAUUGAUUGGCGGAUUUCUUUUAAUUACUCAUGAACUUUUUGAGCUUAGAACUGCACAAGAUGAAGCUACUGAACAGAAAGAUGAACAAGGUGGACGUUACUGGGAACUGCUUGGGUGGAGAGCAAAUUUCCGCCGGCACUUUCCUGUUGCUACAAUAUCAUACAUUUUAUUUGGCUUAGUCCCUCCUGUUGUUUAUGGUUUCUCAUUUAGGAGGAGCGACGAGAAGGAAUUCAAGCUCAUGGCUGUUGCUGCAUCAUCUCUUCUAUGCACAGCUUUGCUGGCCUUAUGUAAGGCCCAUGUUAAGCCACAAAAAGGCUACGUAAAAACCAUGGUCUACUACCUAGUUCUUGGUGUAUCAGCAUGUGGUCCUUCCUAUCUGGCUGGGAUGAUGAUCGACAAGUUACUUGAGAAGCUUGGAUUGUUUGAUCAUGGGACAACUCUUCAGUCACCUCCCACUCUUAUGUGUCAAGACUUAAGAGAACCAUCAUGGACAUCUUAUUGAUGAUGGAACCCUGCUACUGAUAGACGUGAAGGGGUGCAUCGAAGGACUUGGGACGAUGCCGAUCUGGUCGUUCAAAAUCGCUGUGCACUCGCUGCAGCUGUCCAAGUCGGUGAUUCUUUGACCGACGGAUGGAAUGGCGGGAAUUAAAAGGCAGCAGGCGAGCUUUCAAAAUGUGAGAGAGAGAGAGAGAGGUGUGGGUUUGGUUUCUUUGUUGGAGUCAGAGGAGGUUGGAGAAGAGACAUGGAGAUGGUGAGGGGGAGGUGUUGGAGGAGAGCGGUGGGCUGGUGGAAGCAAGGCGGCGCCCGAGGAGGAGCGACAGCGCAGUGGAAACUCCCGGUGGAGCAUCGCCGGAGACGGAGGAAGAAGGCAGCGGCGAGGAAGCGGAGCAGAGGAGCGUCUAUUACGACGCGGACCAAGGUUUGUGUGGUUUCUUCUUGGGGGCCGUCCCAUUCGUUUCUGUCGCCACCUUAAACCAAGAAACAAGAAACAUUGUGAAAUGACGAUGAUGCUCGUGUGCUUUUGUUGAUUUGUACGAGGAGCAUUUCCUACCCCCCGGCGCCAUUCGUGUCUUUGCUGGUGCCCUUUACGACGUCUGAGAACAGAAAGGAUCCGUUUGUUUUCCCAGAAAGAAUCUGGGAUCGUUUACGGGAACGGGAAUUAGAAGAUACAAGCGAUCGCGUGGUUUUCUGCUCUGUUGCCGAAGCUUUCCGUCUAUCAUCUUACUUCAUUUCUUGGAUCGGAUUUCUUGUUGUGAUGGGUAAAGAACACUGAAUCUUGGCGGUAGGUCUGUUUCUUGCUCUCUUAGAUCGACAUGGAAGAAUGGUUUGUGUAUCGUUUUUGCUUCAUCAUGUCAGCAAGAUGCCUAGGUUAUUAUCUCUUCUUGAACCCUCUGAUCUUGAUAUUGGCGGCAGGGUUUAUUGAGUUCCUUGGUCUUUUAGAUCUCCAUGGACGAACGAAUUGUAUAUGGGUUUCGCUUCCUCGCGUCAACCAGAUGCCUUUUUUGCUUCUCUCUUCUUGAACCCUUUGUUCUUGAUGCUGUGGCGUCGGAUUCAGGUUGACGCGUCAGAGUUUGGUCGGCCUUUCAUUUCGUUGUUAGGAAUUCAGUUCUUAGAUCGCGAAUCUCUUCGGAAUGGUUCUGUGCUUAGCGUCUGGGGGAAGGGCGAGUUGGUCCACUUGGAUCCCUCGUGAGCUUUACUUGUUUGUUUCCUCAUCUGAUGAGUUCCUACAAGAGGACGAAUGCAAUUCUUUCAUAAUGAGGACUAAUAGGAAGUUGCUUUUCUUAGAUUCACAGUGAUGCAAUAAUCUCCUAUCGACAGAUGAAAUUGGUGAAAUGAAGCCCAAAAAGGACGAUCAGAUUGCUACUUGUCAAGAAGCUGCAAAUGGAAGAUCAGAAUUUAAACCUCAAUUGACAAAACAUGGCAGUGAAAUUACUGAAAGUGAAGACAAAAGAGCAGUACAUGAACAGAGUAUGGUACCAAAAAAGAGUCUAUUGAAGGUGAUAGAGUUUGAUCUUGAGAGGAUAUUAGAGGAACAGGAUACACAUGAUUUGUGCUGUCCUAAUUGUAACUCAUGCAUCACAAAAAGAGUGAUUUUACAAAAAAGGAAAUGGUCAGUUAGAGAAAUUCAGCAUGAUGUGCCAUCAAAGAAAGUGCAUGAAGAACAAUAUGAUGCUGAGAGGUUGGAUACUGCAUCUGUUUCAGGUGAAAUGACAAAUCUUGCUGAUGCACCAGAACCAGAUGUAUUCAGAUGUUUAUCAUGUUUCAGCUUUUUCAUUCCAACAGAGGGUGGUUUUAACAUAUUCCGGAUAUUUGAGAAAGGAAAGGAAUCUCAUGUGAAAAGGAAAGAAAUUCAAUUGGAUUUCGUCUAUUUUUAAAGUGGAUAAAAGCAAAACGAAAGAAAGUGAACCAGCAGCUGGUGCUGACGCUUCAACAUGUACGUUUCAAGAUCAAUAUCCUUAUCUCAAUUCAAAAGUAAUCAGGUCAACUUUUUUUUUUGGGGGGGGGGGGAAGCAUGAUUGACAUCAAAUA
Musa acuminata AAA Group (dessert banana) is the source of this 3960-nucleotide RNA transcript. RefSeq lists it as uncharacterized. The record is from RefSeq and is a predicted model, not a curated record. NCBI's taxonomy places the organism in Eukaryota, Viridiplantae, Streptophyta, Magnoliopsida, Zingiberales, Musaceae. The transcript is spliced from 13 exons.